UAGGGAAUCUUCGGCAAUGGACGGAAGUCUGACCGAGCAACGCCGCGUGAGUGAAGAAGGUUUUCGGAUCGUAUAGCUCUGUUGUUAGAGAAGAACGUUGGUAGGAGUGGAAAAUCUACCAAGUGACGGUAACUAACCAUAAAGGGACGGCUAACUACGUGCCAGCAUCCGCGGUAAUACGUAGGUCCCGAGCGUUGUCCGGAUUUAUUGGGCGUAAAGCGAGCGCAGGCGGUUCUUUAAGUCUGAAGUUAAAGGCAGUGGCUUAACCAUUGUACGCUUUGGAGACUGGAGGACUUGAAUGCAGAAGUGGAGAGUGGAAUUCCAUGUGUAGCGGUGAAUUGCGUAGAUAUAUGGAGGAACACCGGUGGCGAAAGCGGCUCUCUGGUCUGUAACUGACGAUGAGGCUCGAAAGCGUGGGGCGCAAACAGG
Molecule: ribosomal RNA, 429 nt
Filed under: Bacillota bacterium
Lineage: Bacteria; Bacillati; Bacillota
Description: Firmicutes bacterium partial 16S ribosomal RNA
Rfam family: Bacterial small subunit ribosomal RNA
Source: RNAcentral